UUUCCAUAUAAUAAUGGCACAUCUAAUUGGGUACUAGAAAAUAUUCCCGAAUACACUUUACGGUCUCCCCCGUUCAAAAUUGCCAAUUCUUCUUGUCCAGCGCGUCCAAUAAAAUUACACAGAAUCGUGACAUUCGGAUUACGUCAUUCCAGUUUGAACAUGGAACAAACGGAACAAACAACGCAGGGUUUGGUUCCAGCUCCUCACCGCCCUCUAUGGACCACUGUAAUGUGGUUACAGAAGGAGGAGGGACGGAUGGAUGGCUGUUCAAUUGGAUUUGCUCCUUCCUGCCUGUAAUGGAUUUCACCAGUGAGAAUGGAAAAGACACCCCAGCGCAGCUUCUGCCAUCUGGUCACCCAGGAAGGGGCUGUCACUGCAAGAUAUCCCAAAAACCAGGAGGACGAGCCAGACAUCAAUUCAGAUGCGUCUGUGAUACGGAGAAAUGAGAAGAAACCAGGAAGCGACCGAGUAAAACCACGAAGGCAUGCGAACUGGACUGUCAUUAAAAGCUCGCUCAUCGUUACGACUCGCGGAUCAUUUCCGCCCUCGUUCUGAGCCGGACCUUAAAUGAACCAAGGCUUUGAUCAGCCUCCAUGGAAACCCCCAUAAAUCCCUGCACCCAACCACAGAGCGACCUGGACACACUGCCGUUUUACCCGUGAGUGCAUUUCCAUUUCCCCGCGAAAUGGUCAUUAAUAACCGCUCUGGGUCGUUCCCAAAAAAAAAAAAAAAAAAAACCAGCGGCGUCGGCCAUUUUCAUCCUGGGCACGGCGAGGGGCGGGAAGACUUACCGACGGUCCGAUCUCCCCCGGCACGCCCGGAUCUCCCUGGGGAAAAAAAAGAAGAAAAAAGAAAGGAAACAUAAGGAGCAGAAACGGGGUGUGACAUCAUCAAAAAAUGGUCCCGCAUAUGCCCAACUUCAGCACCAAAGGCUCCUGGGCCAUAGUCUUGCAUAACUCAGUCAGGACGUCCAGACCUCACAAAACCCAUUUUAUUCGCUGUCUGCUACUGUACACCAGGCUGGCCAGUGGGGGAAGGGCUCCCCCCUCUACAGCCGGGUUCCUCUCGAGAUUUCUUCCCAUUCUCGCUUCCGUUUGAGGGUUUUCUCCCCACUGGGAGUUUUUUUAAAUCUCUUGCUAUCUGGAGGUUCAGGCCUGGGGUAUAAGGCUCAAAGCCUCCCACCGCCCACCCCAAAAAAUAAGAAAUAUGAAGCAAUACUGCCACUGACCCCUGCCCCUCCUGGGUUGCCAAUAUGUCAUCUAACCCCAUAAUGCCAUAAUGCAGAAAGUUGGCCAAGAGUAGCAUCCACAUUUUUUAAUGUUCCAAUAUGUUAUUUUAAAGUUUUCUCUUGUUAAAAAAAAUAUAAUAAAAUAGUUUUUUUUCCUGUGAAACUCCCAGAAAAACCACUUUUCCUCCAUGAGCCAUUAGUGUUUAAUGGCCCUGGAAGAUGAUUAGUGUCUUUCAGCCCUCUUUAAAAGGCUUAUUUGGAUCUGCCUCGUUCCAGCUUUAAUUAAAGCACCAUUACAUUUUUCAAAAACGGGCAUGACAGGCUAAUUUAUUCAUUUCAGGAGGUCUGCGUAACAAGUCAAACCAGGACGCAAGACGGGUCGCUUUCUGUCACAGAACAUUGCCACUCAUUAUUAAAUAUAUCAGUGUCUGGAACUUAAUGUCUUGUGAUUCAUAAAGGCACUCGCUCGAGUACCAAGAGAAAGUUUGCGAUAAUAAAGCGAAAACUAAAAAAAAAAAAAAAAAA
Molecule: long non-coding RNA, 1753 nt
Organism: Anguilla rostrata (American eel)
Lineage: Eukaryota; Metazoa; Chordata; Actinopteri; Anguilliformes; Anguillidae
Exons: 4
Source: RefSeq, a predicted model, not a curated record